AGAGUUUGAUCAUGGCUCAGAACGAACGCUGGCGGCGUGGAUAAGACAUGCAAGUCGAACGAGAGAAUUGCUAGCUUUCUAAUAAUUCUCUAGUGGCGCACGGGUGAGUAACACGUGAGUAACCUGCCCCCGAGAGCGGGAUAGCCCUGGGAAACUGGGAUUAAUACCGCAUAGUAUCGAAAGAUUAAAGCAGCAAUGCGCUUGGGGAUGGGCUCGCGGCCUAUUAGUUAGUUGGUGAGGUAACGGCUCACCAAGGCGAUGACGGGUAGCCGG
RNAcentral lists this ribosomal RNA (273 nucleotides) under uncultured bacterium. RNAcentral's name for it is "partial 16S ribosomal RNA". It matches the Rfam family "Bacterial small subunit ribosomal RNA", at positions 8 to 290 of the family's 1533-position model. The record is from RNAcentral.